GAUGAACGCUGGCGGCGUGCCUAAUACAUGCAAGUCGAGCGAACAGACGAGGAGCUUGCUCCUUCGACGUUAGCGGCGGACGGGUGAGUAACACGUAGGUAACCUACCUAUAAGACUGGGAUAACUUCGGGAAACCGGAGCUAAUACCGGAUAAUAUUUCGAACCGCAUGGUUCGAUAGUGAAAGAUGGCUUUGCUAUCACUUAUAGAUGGACCUGCGCCGUAUUAGCUAGUUGGUAAGGUAACGGCUUACCAAGGCAACGAUACGUAGCCGACCUGAGAGGGUGAUCGGCCACACUGGAACUGAGACACGGUCCAGACUCCUACGGGAGGCAGCAAUAGGGAAUCUUCCGCAAUGGGCGAAAGCCUGACGGAGCAACGCCGCGUGAGUGAUGAAGGUCUUCGGAUCGUAAAACUCUGUUAUUAGGGAAGAACAAACGUGUAAGUAACUGUGCACGUCUUGACGGUACCUAAUCAGAAAGCCACGGCUAACUACGUG
RNAcentral lists this ribosomal RNA (497 nucleotides) under uncultured bacterium. Its description in RNAcentral is "partial 16S ribosomal RNA". It matches the Rfam family "Bacterial small subunit ribosomal RNA", at positions 28 to 507 of the family's 1533-position model. The record is from RNAcentral.